GACGAACGCUGGCGGCGUGCUUAACACAUGCAAGUCGAACGGUGAAGCGCCUUCCUUUUUGGUGGGUGUGGAUGAGUGGCGAACGGGUGAGUAACACGUGAGUAACCUGCCCCCUUCUUCUGGAUAACCGCAUGAAAGUGUGGCUAAUACGGGAUAUUCUGUGUCUGUCGCAUGAUGGGUCUGGGAAAGAUAUUGUUUCGGUGGGGGAUGGGCUCGCGGCCUGUCAGCUUGUUGGUGGGGUGAUGGCCUACCAAGGCGGUGACGGGUAGCCGGCCUGAGAGGGUGGACGGUCACACUGGGACUGAGACACGGCCCAGACUCCUACGGGAGGCAGCAGUGGGGAAUAUUGCACAAUGGGCGCAAGCAUGAUGCAGCGACGCCGCGUGAGGGAUGGAGGCCUUCGGGUUGUGAACCUCUUUCGCCAGUGAAGCAGGCCUGCCUCGUUUGUGGGUGGGUUGACGGUAGCUGGAUAAGAAGCGCCGGCUAACUACGUG
This 494-nucleotide ribosomal RNA is filed under the name uncultured bacterium. Its description in RNAcentral is "partial 16S ribosomal RNA". It matches the Rfam family "Bacterial small subunit ribosomal RNA", at positions 28 to 507 of the family's 1533-position model. The record is from RNAcentral.